UCAAAUUCAACUGGUCGUAACGACUCUGAAUCCAUUCAGCAUCAGUCAACUAGGGAUUUGAGGGUAUACUUUCUUUUAUUUUUCUUUCUUUGAUUUUUUUUUUGAUCUUGAUUCUUUUUGAUUUUGAUUUUGAUUUUGUUUUUCACCCUCUUCUUGUUUUUUUUUACAUUACAUUUGUAAUGCCCCCAGUUUGACUGUUUGCUGAUUCUCAAGA
RNAcentral lists this long non-coding RNA (214 nucleotides) under Lathyrus oleraceus (garden pea). RNAcentral describes it as "Pisum sativum (pea) long non-coding RNA (PSAT_LNC036593)". The record is from RNAcentral. Lineage: Eukaryota; Viridiplantae; Streptophyta; Magnoliopsida; Fabales; Fabaceae.